AAACGACUAUAUAUUAUAAUUUUUGAAGUUUCUGCUUCACGCCAAAUCAAGUGCCAACACAAAGGGAGCUGAGUAUUGAAUGUUGAAUGCAGGAUAGCGGCGGACGGGUGAGUAACGCGUGGGCAACCUGCCUCAUACAGGGGGAUAACACAGGGAAACUUGUGCUAAUACCGCAUAAUAUCAUUGGGUGGCAUCACCUGAUGAUCAAAGGAGCAAUCCGGUAUGAGAUGGGCCCGCGUCCGAUUAGCUAGUUGGUGAGGUAACGGCUCACCAAGGCGACGAUCGGUAGCCGAACUGAGAGGUUGAUCGGCCACAUUGGGACUGAGACACGGCCCAGACUCCUACGGGAGGCAGCAGUGGGGGAUAUUGCACAAUGGAGGAAACUCUGAUGCAGCGACGCCGCGUGAGUGAAGAAGGCCUUCGGGUCGUAAAGCUCUGUCCUAGGGGAAGAUAAUGACGGUACCCUAGGAGGAAGCCCCGGCUAACUACGUG
RNAcentral lists this ribosomal RNA (492 nucleotides) under uncultured bacterium. RNAcentral describes it as "bacterial SSU rRNA". It matches the Rfam family "Bacterial small subunit ribosomal RNA", at positions 1 to 507 of the family's 1533-position model. The record is from RNAcentral.